This 1392-nucleotide long non-coding RNA is filed under the name Felis catus (domestic cat). Its description in RNAcentral is "lncRNA (ENSFCAG00000052348.1)". Lineage: Eukaryota; Metazoa; Chordata; Mammalia; Carnivora; Felidae. The record is from RNAcentral.
UUCGGAUUCUGUGUCUCCCUCUCUCUCUGCCCCUAUCCUGCUCGCUCGCUCUCUCUCUCUCUCUCUCUCUCCCUCAAAAAUAAAUAUUAAAACAAAAACAAAACACAACCUAAUUUAUAGACGUGAAAUCUCCUACUCUUACAACUUUUCCAGGAUUUUGUCGAAGUGACGGUUUCCUCUGAACCUCCAAGUUCACACUGAACUCCAGGUAUCCUGAUGCUUCAUCCAGUGCCUAACCUGCGGUGCCCAAAGCGGUGUAUCCAACAAAGUCCCCAGGUUCUUUUCCUAGAAGGAAAUCCCUCUGUAGAUCUGGUCACAGGAGUUGCGAGCCACCCCUGCAGCGACCAUAAACCAGAUGUCUGCAGGCGGCUACUGGCAGGCUCCUCUGUGUUUCCAGACCCUUCUGGGGCCCUUCCUUCCGCCAUCAUGGCCCGUCUCCGGUAUAACUUCUCCUUCGGUCCUCGGGAAAAGUGAGGCACCUAGAUUCUACUUGUGCGCUGACUGUCCGUGAAAUCACGUUCAACCUUCAACGUUCAACGUGGGGGUUCCGACGCUACUUUGUGGCAUUCCUUGAAUCUACGGGCAGGAGAAAGGCAUAAUAGGAAAUGACUUCUUCACCUGGUGUGGUGGGGUAGAAAGCCCCCAGCUGGUCUUGGGAUCAGAAGACUUGGCGUCAAUGUCAGCUUGGACCCAUUGCUAGUGGGCACUCUAGCAACGCCUUGUCCUGAAUUGCAUUUUAAUACACCACCCCGUUUUAUCAUCCUUCUUACGCGGAUAAUAACGGUGCUUACAGCCAAAGAAGAUGUAUUACCAUUACAGCAUUCCCAUAAAACAUGAAGUGAUCAAACAUCCCGGCUCAUUUUCUUAAAUAUCGUACCAGUGAGAUUUACACACGUCUGCUUCCUUCAAGCUCGGCCAGCUUUCAAGAUGCAUUGUCUCCAGGGCGCGGCCCUUCGUAAAAAUGGGCUCUUUGGCCCCACGUGAGUUCCUCUCUCAUGUCAAGCCCUUAAGGAAAUAAUUUCGGAAAGCGUCCUGGCCCACACAUCUGAGGGUCCCUCUUUGCUUGUGGGAGAUGGUCGCAUUCUUGGAAAUGUUUCGGGAGGACACCACAAAGGGGAACUUGAGGGAGUUAAUGUUGGGGACUGGCCCGUCUGAAAGAGAAGCCUGGGGGCGCCUGGGUGGCUCGGUCGGUUAAGCAUCCAACUUCAGCUCAGGUCACGAUCUCGCGGUCCGUGAGUUCGAGCCCCGCGUCGGGCUCUGUGCUGACCGCUCAGAGCCUGGAGCCUGUUUCAGAUUCUGUGUCUCCCUCUCUCUCGGCCCCUCCCCUGUUCAUGCUCUGUCUCUCUCUGUCUCAAAAAUAAAUAAACGUUAAAAAAAUUUUUUUUGAAAGAG